RNAcentral lists this long non-coding RNA (7014 nucleotides) under Solanum tuberosum (potato). RNAcentral describes it as "long non-coding RNA (STUB_LNC006812)". Lineage: Eukaryota; Viridiplantae; Streptophyta; Magnoliopsida; Solanales; Solanaceae. The record is from RNAcentral.
GUCAAUUUUUGUCAGAAGAAAAUCGAUAUUGUGAUCCUAAAACAAACAUAAGUGAUAUUUCCAGGUAAUUUCCCAAACAUGGGUGACUAUCCAAGGAAAUUACUCUAAAAAUAUGUAAUAGAAGUUGAUAGAGAAUCUUUUAUCUUUUAAAGUAGGUAGUCAAGACGAACUUUUGGAUUAUGUCACAUCUUUUAAUACUAGAGGGGUAUGGCCCGUGCUAGCACGGGCCCAACAUGCAUGGUUUCGAUUUCCUUUUGUCAUUGCAACAAUACAAUAGUAUAAGCAAACUAAACAUAAAGUUAGCAUUAGGAAAAAAAAUCUUGUGCUUGUACAUAAUUGAAUGAAACAUCGAAUUUCUUUACGUGAAAAGAAGUAGAAAGAGAAUUGCAACUGAGUUGCCUAUUACAACCUAUAUUAUCCAGAGUUCGGAGAGCAAAAUCUAACUCAUUCUUAUGCCAACAAUGAUUCAAGUAAAAUCUGCAAAAAGAGAAGAUCAAAUCAAUUUGCAAAUGUCAGAAAAAUGCACAAAUGGAAAAUCUAGUGAAUUACCAAAUAUAAGCAGACACUACCACAUGUCUUUUAAAAGCAAAAACUCUAGUGAAGUGUUUUGAUAACCAAAAAAAAACUCUAGUGAAGUUAUUACAUUAUAAUAAGAUUUAAGUUGUUUAUCCAGAAAAUAAAGAAAGAGUAAGUAACAUUACCUAACAAUCAUUGAUUUCAGAUUUGAUCUCAAAAAAUGAGAUUUUUUUCCGCAGAUGUAGAGCCACAUCGAUGCAACAUGGCAGUACAUCAUAUAUUGAGAUAGAAAAUUGCCUACACUUUCAGUUCAACAUGCAUUUAUGACAAUACAACCUGUUCAUACAUUGAGCAGAAAUAGUUAUAUUCUUUCCACUGAAAUUUUAAUUUAUCUACAAUAUAAUUGCUUUGCUGACUCUGUAAACUCCCCCCCCCCCAACUCCUUUACUCCUUUCAUUGGGUAAUAGCUCCUUUCAACUUUUUCUUUAUGCUAGCGCAGAAGUCCUGUACUAUUAUUUGUGAGUUGAUUUUGAACACACAAAAUCAUGUAAGGAUUUAUGAAAGACGUGAAAAAUGUGUAAAAAGUAAAUGUGCUAAGUACUAACACCAAAUGCAUGGUGCAAUAACAUAAUUAUACAUUCAGAACCUAUUUAAAACAGUGCAGAGGAUAAUCACAUUAAGAGCAACUUACUUGAAAUGAUUUACGAACCAUUGCAACAUGUCUUGAACUGUUGGUUAGGCUCGCCAGCUAAUUUUACAUCCAUUAGCAUGUACCUCUCUCUUUACCAAUUCGGAAAAGUAAAUUUGAUGAGCGUUGUGAAGUCACAAAGUGAACACCAUGUGAAUACUCUCAUUUUCAUACUCGCGGAGACAAAGUGAAAUGGUUCAAGUUGCACCUGUUUUCAGUACAAAAAAGAAUUAGAAAGAAGAAAAGAUUUCAAUGACAUAAGAAAAUAACGCAUUGAGCAUAGCAAAGGAGUGUCGCCUAUCUCCAUAGUACCAGAAAGCAAAAAAAUAAUCAUGUUAUAGAUUGAUAGGAGUUCUGAAGCUGAAGGCGUUUUAAAAUUGAAAUCGUUUAUCUACCCUAUUCUGANNNNNNNNNNNNNNNNNNNNNNNNNNNNNNNNNNNNNNNNNNNNNNNNNNNNNNNNNNNNNNNNNNNNNNNNNNNNNNNNNNNNNCCUUCCAACAGGGGUCUAUUACAAUUUGCAAAAUUGCAGGCUUCUUAAGUUAAACUCUAUUCUAUACUUCUUCUUAAGUUAAACUCUAUUCUAUACUUCUUCUUAAGUUAAACUCUAUUCUAUACUUCUUCUUAAGUUAAACUCUAUUCUAUACUUCUUCUUAAGUUAAACUCUAUUCUAUACUUCUUCUUAAGUUAAACUCUAUUCUAUACUUCUUCUUAAGUUAAACUCUAUUCUAUACUUCUUCUUAAGUUAAACUCUAUUCUAUACUUCUUCUUAAGUUAAACUCUAUUCUAUACUUCCUUCAACAUUCUAUAAUUGGUAUAAUAUUUUUCCUUUCUUUUUUUAACAAAAAAAUUAACAUCAUCCAAGGAUAUUCAAUUAUGGCUAGACCUCUACUGUCCAUUUUAUCUAACAGUAAGAUGAAAAUGAAAGGAUUAAGAAUGCUUUGACAGUUUAAAACUCAGUUUUGAGAUCUACAUAAAUAUAAUCUUUAAAUUUCAUAAUUCAGAAAAGAGAUCAGAUCUUUGAUAUAUUCAAAUAUAUCAAGUGUCAAACCAUAACUUUAAGAAUUAAGAAACAAAACAAAGUAGCUACCUUGGGAAAAAAAUUGCAUGUUGCUGUAUGUAAAGUUGAGUUCUUUCUCCUUCAUAAACACCAAAAAAGAGUAAGCAAAUUUUAGUUUCACAUCUUCAUUGUUGAUGAUGUUUAUAUUUAAAUGUUGCUUCCAAGAAAAAACAGGUAAUACAUUUGUUGGAUCUGUAUUCAGCCUGCAAAAUGUUGAGGGAAAAAAGUUCAAUUUGGUAGAUUUAAAAGCCCAAUCAUUUAUUAACAGAGCAAAAUCAUUUAUUAGAGUAGACAUGCACAAAGGUCCAUAUCAUAUCUUUCCUUGUGAAAGGAAGGUUGAUAUUUGAUAAUGACGAACACAGUCCCUAAAUGUACAUGAGAAAGGAAGGAAUAAAAAAAGAAAAGAAGAUCAAGGAAUUUAAUUGAGAAGGUUCAAUGAGAGAAAGAGAGGAGAAAUUAGGUUCGACAUGAGUAAAUGAAACAACACGUGUCUUCACCGCUACAAACAUACAAUAGAUAUUUCUGAAAGGGCAUUAGUAUACAGGACUUUUCAGAUUUCCUCCAUACAAAGCUAUAGGCUUUUAAUAGAAGAAUAGUUGAACUAAAGUAAUAAAUAAAAAAAAUUGUAAAUAAACCAAGGAUUUUACUCCCUCAAUGGUAGAUGCUUGAACAUUUUAAAUAAACAAAUUAUUUUACCGUCUGACCCUUGACUUUAUAAACUCUAUUAUCAAUGAUAACGCAGACAUAAUAUCUUUGUCAAUAGACAACAAAACAGAUGAAAAAAAAAAGAAAAAUCUCUGAACAGUGAAAAAGGAAACGAUCAAGUUAGAAGAUAAACUUACUGAUGAAGGAAAGAUAAAGGCAUAAGAAAAACAGGAUCUAACCUCUAUUGCUCAAAUCCUGUCCAUUUCACCUUUAAACACAACUUUAGUAGAAUAAUCUUUGAGCAUUUUAGAAAAUCAGUUGAUGUCUCAAUAAUCAUAUCUAGCUAGCCUCUUCAUUUUACUAUGAUAAAAUAUGAGAAACAAAUUUUAAGCUCAAAGACAAAAUCUAAUGCUAAGAGCUCCUAAAUUUAAGUGCAAAUAGUGAACAUCUUAGAAAAGAUAACUAUUAGUGAAGUAAGUAAAAACUUACUGCAUUUAAAAGUAUGUAUUGACAAUACAACCAACUCUUGAAAUGAUUACUAUUUCUAUUUAUCAAUCAACAACGUAUCUAGUACAUCGGAAACAUUGGAGAUCAAUGAAAUUUCUGUAUUAGCCUUUAAGUUUAAUAUCAUAAGUGCAAUUGUUCAAAAAAAAAAAAAAGAACCGCCAUUCACCCAAAAACUAAGAAGGACAUAAGAACUGUAGUCAUAGAGAAAGGAGAACAAAAGAGGAGGCAUAAACUGACGACAACUCAUCCAAACCAUCCCACAAUGAGCCAAUGUAAUGGAGUUGGCGAGGAUUACCUUAGAAGAGGAGAAAAAUGUGUACGUACUCGCAACCCAAUGCCAUUUGUUGGUCGUCAAAAGUCAUUAAUUCUGCAAAAAUACAAGUAAAAUCAUCGAGAUAUAGUAACGGGAUCCAAGUUUUCAACAAUCAAUAGAACGGAGCUCAGCGUCGCAGUUGUGUUAUACUGAGAACAUAUGAAAAGAUUAUAGAAAUGAAGAAGUGGAGUCAGAAGACUAAUUUUUCAAACAAAUUUUGAUCUUACUACUGUCAACAGAGAGAAGAGGAGAAAAAUUAGUAAGCAAAAAUUGAUAUCCUAAUAAAUAGAAUAACAUAAUCAUGUUAACGGGCAAAUGUAUAUAGAACUGGACAACCAAGAAUUAAUAAAUUCAAAUAUUAAAAUUAUAUAAAGUCAAAUGAUCCUAUAAAGGAAUCCUUGACAAUUAUCAAAGUGAGAGCCUAUAACAUCAACCCCAAUAAAUUAGGGUAGGCUUCAGAAUCUUACGGAUCAUGUUACUCCAUUGAACAUCCAAUUCCCUAACUUAUAUAAUCCACAUGCACUGAAAUUGUUCAAUUGUAUAAUUUUGAACAAUUUCAAUCUUAAACCCCUAAUUUCCAUAAACUGUUGUGGGGUGGAAUUUGUGUGCAUAUAUUAAUUUUUUGAUUGCUUGGUAGUGAUAUUGGAGGAGAAUUUCGCUCUAAACCCAAUUUUCAAACUUUGAAUAUAAAUUUCAAACUCCUACACAAAAAUAUAAAGUGAAAGCAUAAGGACAUAAAUAAACAAACAAAAGAAAGAGUGGCAACAUAAGACACCAUCAAUAAAAAAAUUAUACACUUAAAAGAGUGCAGAACAUAGAAACGGCAUAUAGCACUAUAUAUGGACCCGAGAUCCGACACUGAAGUUUAGAAGCUAUAAAAGCAGUAAAGCACAAAGAGAAGGAACCUACUCAUAGUAUAAAGCUCACCGGGCAAAUUAACAAUGGAGGAACUUGCAUUAACAACGUUGGGUUUUCUGCUCUUGUGUUUUUGUGUUGAAGCAUAGUACAGGAAGUACAAGGACCCAAAACAACCCUUGAAUAUUAGAAUCAGGGACUUGAUGAAUAUAAUAAGCCUUAAAGAGAUAAUAGGUCAUAUUAGCCAGAUUGAGAAACAUGUAGAUUUAGCUUAAAUCAUGAAGAAAUAUUUCGGCAAGGCAUCCCAAACAAACAAAAAUCUUGAGGAAACCUUCACAGAGAGAUUUAAAGUGUCUACACAAAGAGAAGACACUCAGCAACACAUGGAUUCGCCAUUGAAGAGUUGAGAUCUACAAAGAAGAGUUGAGAAAAUAGACCAAGCUUAGCAGAGGAGGAGAGAGAAAUCUAUAGAGAAUUGUGAGAUGAUAGUGCAAAACUUGUACAGAAAGUGAAGCAAAAUGAGACACGUGUUUAUUCAUCACUGGAAAAGGGCCAAAUUUACUGUACAAUUAGUACUACCUUUAGUACAAUUAGAAGAUGCAGUGUUCGUCCUUUUACUCCCAUCCUCCUUUAGCCUUCUUUUGUAUAAGUUAGAUAAUAUUUCGUACAAUUUGCUGAAGUCAGAGUCUAAAUGAUUAUAUGUAUGUUGAAAAUGUGAAUACUGAACUGAAAUGCUAUAGAUGAAAGAGUGAUUUUACUUGAUACAGAUUUUUCAAAUCCUCUCGCAAUGUGAUUCAUCCCAACCUUAUAACCCAAGAAGGAAGUCAACUUGCUGGGUUUGGUUCUAUCAUCCUUAGGCAUCGGAAAAAAGAAAAAAAAUAGAUGACGGAUAAGGGAAGACUUAAAAUAUUUACUAAAGAGUAAAAGGUGCAGAAGUUAUGGAGAAGCUAAAUCUCGAAACAAAAGAGUAGAAGGUUGCAAAUGGUAAAUUUUGCAUUUAUGCAGCUUCUGGUAACUAUAAGAUCUUGGAACAUAUUAGAGAACAUACAUAUGUUAAAAUGUGAUAAAUUCAAGAAUGGAAUCCUACUCUAGCUUAUUGUCUUCGUUAAUAUUGUCUCGUAUGAGUACAAAGAAACUUAUGCUAUCAAAUAGUUUCUGGUCAAUAGGUUAACCCUCGACAUACGUGCUUAAUGACCUUUAUUGAUUCAUAAUUGGAGAAAGAAUGUGCAAUUCACUCAUGAAUGUUCUCUUUGUAUACGAAUCCUUGGCAACAAUUGUUUGGCAUAUGGAGGAUGCAAGAAAGCUAUCCUUAUGAUUCAUUACUCUCUAAUACUAUCUCAUGAAUUAAAUCUCAUGAAUUAAAACAGAUUCAUAUAAUGAAAGAUCAAUUCAGUCAAAAUAAUGUACACUUAAUAAAUCAAUAACAGACACAAAGAUAAACAAUCAUCAAUCACUUAAUCACUGGAAGGGUCUAAUAAGGCCACAAUUAAAAGAUGGAAGUAUUUCGUGAAUCAAAUUUGACAAAUUUUACUCCAAAAGAUAGAUCUCAUAUCUUCCGUCAAAGUCGAAGCCUUAAAAGAUUUUGAAAAAAUCUCACCUUUGGAGCAUGAUCAAGAUUCAGGUUCAAAUCUAAAGUUCACACAUAUAGUUACAUAUCUUUUAACAACUACAAGUUCAAAUUAAUCCUGCAGUGUAGCACUUUAAGAUAUUAUUAGGUGAAAAACAGAGCCCUAUCCAAAAAUAAAAAGAUUUAUACUAUUUCAUGAUAUCAAGUACCAAAUAUGAAAAAGGUAUCAAGUGGCACACUUCUAAGUUAGUCUUGAAAGAUUAAAAAACAAAGAAAAAAGGAACAAAUUUCACCUAGUACCUUUGAAUGUUGUUAGGAACCACGCAAGUACCAAACUUUGUCAACAAUCUGCAAAAUUUGCAUAGCUGCAAGUGCAAACCUGCAAAGAGAAUGGAAAAUAUGAAAAGAACUUGAAAAGGCAAAAGAAUAUCACAACACGCAAGAGGAAAAAGAAACAAUUCUUGUUGUAGAGGUCGGCACAAUUCUGACAGAAACUUGAAAUUUGGUACUCAGUUUUCGAAAAAUUUCUUGCGACUACAAGUGCGAUUUGUUCAAAAUUUUCAGAAAACUAAAGAGACGAAAAAAAGGAAAAUGCGAACAACUCUUCGACGAAGCUUCUUGGAGACUAAUUUGACGGAAGAAAAGAGAGAGAAGGAUAAGGAAGAGAAGCCUCGAGAAAUUUGGGGACUGUAAGUGAAAACCAGCUGUCUCCCACAAAGGUAAGAUGCUAUUACGUGUCUGUCAAAACGUGGAAAAUUGGAGGGCAUUGAACUAAAAUACAUACACGUGGCAUUAAACUAAAAAUAGGCCGAACUUUAUUGUACAAUUUAUGCAACUUUUAGUACAACUGCAUAUAGCAGUGUUGG